AACCACAAACUGCUGGAAGUGCUAACAGGUACUUUCAUAUCUGAUUUAGUUGUAGUUCAACGUUUUUCGUUUCAGAAGCUACCUAGCUCAUACUUGUCUCUCUUCCGAACUGACUCCCACAAGAAUAAACUAAGGGGAGAUUUCGCCUGGAUGUGUAAUGGAAAACAUGACAUAGUCUUCCAUACCUCUCAGUUUUAUAUGAUUUUCUUUGCAAUCAUCACUGAAUUUAGUUCGUUUUUUUGGAAUAACCUAUGCUUUCUCCUUCUGUUUAGGUAUGUUCAGCAUCACUCCAACACGCAAAAGAAGGAUGAUGACAAUGCGGACAAAAACUUAGCUCGAACCAUAAUGCACAAUAAACAAUAUAGCUUAUCGGGCCGUGCUGAUGAUGAGUACGAUUUUGAGGAUGGGCCAAGAAAGAAAUCACGAAAGAAGGAGAAAGACAAUGAUCGGAAAUCUGAGAACAUCAGUCUUGGUAGGAGCAUCAUGACACAACAAGACCGCUGUCUGUUUUGCUUUGAGAACCCAAAUAGACCAAAGCAUUUAGUUUUGUCGAUAGCAAACUUCACCUAUUUGAUGUUGCCUCAAAGGAAGCCAGUUGUACCAGGUCAUUGCUGCAUCGUACCUUUACAGGUAAACUUGGCGUAGUUACUCCUGAUUUUCUGCAGCAUGUUUAUGAUAUUUUCACCAAUUUCCCUUGGUUAAUCUAACUGCGAAAUUCCUGUUGCAGCAUGAAUCAUCUACAAGGACUGUAGACAAUAACGCAUGGGAGGAGAUUCGGAAUUUCAAGAAAUGCCUGAUAAUGAUGUUUGCAAAGCAAGACAAAGAGGUAGUGUUUCUUGAAACGGUAAUGGGUUUGGCCAAACAACGUCGACAUUGUUUAGUUGAGUGCAUCCCUUUGCCACAAGAUAUUGCCAAAGAAGCCCCUCUUUAUUUCAAAAAGGUUGGUAACCUGUAUUGUUUCUUAAUUUUUACACCUGGUUUCAAUCAGCAUCCCUUGCUUCUAUGGUCAUGAAAAAAUUGUUAAAGAAUGAACCAUUUUUUAACUGACAGGCAAUCGACGAGGCUGAAGACGAAUGGAGUCAGCACAAUGCAAAAAAGCUGAUCGACACGAGCAUAAAGGGGCUGCGGGGAUCUAUCCCCAAGGACUUUCCAUAUUUCCAUGUUGAAUUUGGAUUGAAGAAAGGGUUCGCCCAUGUUAUCGACGAUGAGAGCCAGUUUAAUAGCAGCCUCGGCCUUAAUGUCAUAAGAGGGAUGAUGCAGCUACCCGAUGAAGAUAUGUAUCGACGAAGGAGACAAGAUUCUGGAGAAGGACAGAAGCUGGCAGUUGCUGAGUUUGCGCGGGAUUGGCAACCUUUCGAUUGGACUAAACAGCUAUGAGUCUGUCUAGAAAUGUUUCGCAAUGCAACUAUAUUUUGUUUUCCAUCAACGUACUAAUAUUGUAAUGAUUUUUAGCAAUUGUUUCCUAACCCUAACAAGUCAGAUUUUGACCUAGUUUUGUUAAUUGUACAUUCUUUUUCUACCUGGUAUAGUUUUUUUAUAGGGUUCUGCCUGGUAUAGUUAACUGGAGCCAAGAUUAAUACUGCGAUUGCUUCUGAACACAGUAUGCACUGAUUGUAGCAUUGUGCUACCGUUAACACGUUUCAAACAUGGAAUUGCUAAUUAAGAGUGCUUCUCUUUCUUCCCCUGCUCCUUCCCUUCCCACUUGACGAUGAAGCUGCUGUUGCUGUCCCGUGAGCUUCUUCCUUACUUGCAUCGUCACUUUCAUUGAAGCUUUCAGUUUUGUCUGUAGAUUCUCCCUUUUCUUCUUCGUCCUCAUCAGUGUCUUCUUCUCGUUCUGGUGGUUGCUUCUUGGAGAGCUGAUCUCGAAGCUCUCUAAUUUUCCGCUUUUUCGAGUUCAGAACUGCAAGGAACUGGAAAUAUACAAAGGCAUUAGCGAUGGGAUUGCAAAUCAGUUUUAUUGGGUAGAAUUGUAAAUGUUACACCUUUAGCUAUCUUCCACAUUCAGAAUCACAAUUCACAUCCAUCUUGAUCAGAACAACUUGACCAGGGAGGAAAUGAUCAAAACAUCUCAGAGUUCAGCUGUGCUAAAAUAAUCCUCAUCAAAUGUGAGCCUAAGUAUCAUCACAAACACUAGACUUGAAAGAUAAUUCCAGACAUGCGAUGAAUUAAUCAGUGCUUCAAAUGGAAACCCAAGCCAUUAGUGUGUCUUAGAAACAUAACGAUCAAAGUUUCAGAGAUGUAAUUCAGACUUUCGGAGAACAGGAGGAGCAUCAACAUAGAUCUUCAAGAACAAAGAACCAAAAAGAAAGCUAUUGGCAGCAAAGAGGUUUCCUAAUCUUCUAAACAAAUUAAUGGCUUCCAUUGCGGUAUGUAGGUUAUUGACAGAAAUCGGAAAGUUGAAGCACUUAACCUUUGCAUAGAUUGCAGACUCAAACUCCACUUUCUCACUGCAAUACCUCUCGCUUUGCGCCAGGCAUUUCUCAGCUUCCCCUUUCAUCUGCUCAAAUGACCGCGUCUUUCUAACAACUUCUUCCUACAACAGUUGAAACGUGGAGAUUGAGAACAGAUGCAAUCACGGUUUUUGCUUUACUAGAACUGAACAAAAUCAGAAGGUGGAGGGUUUUAGUUUACACUGAGCCUUAUAUUUGCGUCCAUAAGGAAAUCCAAGAUCCUUGCUGUAGUCUUCUUACUGUCAGGCGAUGGCUGGAACUUCCAUCUCCAUUGUAGCGUCAUCCCUUCUUUUUCAAAGGUCCAUGAUAACUUCAAAAUAACUCAACCCAAACUAUAUUCAAUUACAAAACCACGGCCGAGAUUUGGAGCCAAUUCCACUAUUCUCUGGAUAAAAAAAUAUGCCUAAAGGAAAAGCCAGAUUGAGGGGGGAGCAGAAGACUAACUCGUUUACAACCAUCGCCGACAUCGUCGAACCUGUAGACCGAGCCAGGGAUUUGAAACCCUAGGUGAUUCUCAGCCAAUUGAAUGUACUCGGUAAUCGAUUGAUCCCACUGCGCCGCUCUCUCUUUAACCUCGUCUUCCGUAGCUGCCAAUUUGGGCAAGAGCUCAGAUCAGCAAGAAAAAAAAAAGGAAAUAAGCAAAGCUCCAAACAACGUUGAACUCAUCAAGCAAGAGCUAACAUUUCAGUACAACAGAACUGGGCAUCAGGAGGGAAGGAAUAGAGGUUUUAUACCGUAGCAAACCCAAGAGUGAAGGCCGUCCGCUACAGAGAGGUCGAAGUGAGUCUCGAACCAAGUUCCUUUGACGAAUACCGGUUCGCUCGUAGCGUCGGAAACCUCGAGCUUCAAGCAUGUGUGCCUCCUCGUCGCCGCCGUCGUAUCCAUUUCCUCCGACUGAGUCGUCCCCCGUCUUGCUCGACAAGCUUCGCAGUUCCUUUGGCGCCGUGAUUAUAUUGAGUAUUCAAUAUUCAUUUGUUCUGCAACGACAACGUUUGAUACUAAAAGGAAAAAGAGAGCGGUUAAUAUUAAAAAAAAAAGGAAAUAAAGGAGAAAACUCCAAAAAUCACGACAGCAGCAGAGGAAUCCCAGUUUGUUUGUGUACGCCUUCAAUCACUCACAAGUCACACCUUCCUUUUCAUCAACAAAAUGGAUUUAUGAAUUCAAAACUCUAAUGCGCAGUACUACCGAUUCCAAACAAUUCCCUGAAAAUGGCGUCUCCAGAACUUCAUCCUACAAGCCAUUUCACCUUUCUUCUGCUAGUCUGCUUAAUCAGCUGCUCAAUCUCAACACUAGCAAAUGAAGCCGACACUAUCAAAACCAUGGAGGAUUUCUCUGGCUACCCACUUCACGAGACAAUCAAUCCCUUCGGUUCCAGAUCACUUUCAGUUGACGGCGAAAGCCUGCAGAGACAGGUAUUGACAAAACAACUGGGAGCUUCUUUCAAUUUAAAGACUGACUUCUUCUUACUUCGAAUUCUCGCUUUGUUUUGUAGAUUGAUGAGCUCUCGACCUUCUCGGAUACACCGGCACCAUCGGUCACUAGGGUUCUUUAUACUGACAAGGAUGUCUUGGCUCGCAGGUAAAUUGCUUCCAUUUGUGUUUUCAGGAUGUGUGUAUUUAUUGUUUCUUGUUGAUUCUUCUGGUUUCCUUCCUGUCCAUGUUUUCACAUUACAGGUACGUUAAGAAUUUGAUGGUACUUUCUGGCCUCUCUGUUAGAGAAGAUGCCGUGGGAAAUAUCUUUGGCCGCUGGUAAGUUCGAAGUCUUCUCUUGUUUCAUCAAUUUUGCUACUACAAUUGGAAACAAGAUUUGCUUCAUGCAACUGGUUUGUCUCAUUAUUGACCUCAAUUUGAUUUCGGUUUAUUUUAAGGGAUGGGAACGAGCCAGGGCUCCCAGCUGUGGCAACCGGUUCUCACAUUGAUGCCAUUCCAUACUCUGGAAAGUAUGAUGGAGUUGUUGGUGUCUUAGGUGCAAUCGAAGCCAUAAAUGUAUUGAAGAGGUAAAUUAUAAUGUGAAUCAUUCAUCAUGUAGCAGCUCCCUUUUCUUUUUCUUGUGAGAUGAAAUGGUAGUUUAUUAAGCUUGCAUAUUAUGUACCUGCUAAGCUCUAUAACUGCUACACAGGUCAGGGUUCCAACCAAAGAGGUCAUUAGAAGUUAUCCUAUUCACAUCAGAAGAACCAACAAGAUUUGGGAUCAGCUGCUUGGGAAGGUAAUUACAGCUGCCUUUUACAUUGAAUUUGAGAUGCAAUGGAAAGAUUUGGAGUGUAUCUUAUUUACUAUGUUUGACUUGCAGCCGACUCUUGGCUGGGAGUAGCGCUCUGGCUGAAGCUUUGAAGACAACAACAGUAGAUGGUCAAAAUAUAUCAUUUGUAGAGGCUGCUAGAUCUGCUGGUUAUAUGAAAGAUGGGGAUGACUUAUCCAGUGUUUUCCUAGACAAUAGAAAUUAUUCUGCCUUCCUGGAACUUCAUAUAGAGCAGGGGCCGACUCUAGAGGCAGAAGGUAUAUACUAUUUCUCUAUGCAACUCCACCGUUCCUGCUCAUUGUAUUCUGGACUCUUAUUUAUCCACAUCUUGUUUGAAAUCAGGUUUGUCCAUCGGUAUAGUGACUGCAAUAGCAGCCCCAGCUAGCAUCAAGGUCGAUUUUGAAGGGAAUGGAGGCCAUGCCGGUGCUGUUUUGAUGCCAAACCGGUAAUCUUCACCUACCUUUGCACGGAAACUUUGUGAUGGUAUUUUGAGUUAUUGUGGUUUAUGUGACUAAAGUCUCCUUCCCACUUUCAAAUACUUGCGUAGUAAGAUAUGCUCAAACCCGCAAUGUUGAUAUUGAUAAGCACUAGAUUUAUGUGUAUGAUGGAACAGAAAUGAUGCUGGACUUGCAGCUGCUGAGUUGGCAUUAGCUGUUGAGAAACAUGUACUAGAUUCUGGCUCAAUUGAUACCGUUGGUACAGUAGGUAUGCAUUGUUUGUAAUUCUGUAUUGGUCUAUACCCUUGCAUACAUUUCGUCAUAGUUUUUACUUAAAGAGAAGUCUUUAUAAGCUAUUAAGUUCAUCCUUUCAUAGGUAUUCUAGAUCUUCACCCUGGUGCAAUCAACAGUAUCCCAAGCAAGUCACACCUAGAAAUAGGUAAUGUAUGCUGUUUUUGUCAACAGAACAACAGGUAAUCGAAGUUACUGUAGGUUAUGUCGAGAUCUACUCAUGGUUUCUUGUUUUCAACUGUUGCCAGAUACCAGGGAUAUUGACGAAAAACGAAGAAAUGAAGUGAUAAAAAAGAUUCAUGCAUCUGCAAUUGCAAUAGCCAAAAAACGUAGCGUGACGUUGUCAGAAUUCAAAAUAGUGAACCAAGACCCACCAGCUCUUUCAGAUAAAUCUGUAAUCGCGGCUAUGGAAGACGCAUCAAAGGAGUUGAACUUAACACUCAUAAGAUGAUGAUAAGCCGAGCCUACCAUGAUUCCUUGUUUAUGGCAAGGUAAAACAUUUCUUUUUUUUUUUUCAAGUUUGAAGUGCACAGUAUUGAAUUGUUAUUGCCAAGUUCCAUAUUCUUCACUGCAAACAAGUUGACUGACACAGUAAGAAUGAACUCUUGCAGAAAAGCUCCAAUGGGCAUGCUGUUCAUUCCAUGCUUCAAAGGUAUAUUUGAUUCAUAAAGAAGUUGUUGGGACACCGUUCUCUUCUCCGUCAACAAUUUAGUAGUCAACUUUACCCUAAAACACACAACUAAGUUAUAUAUUUACUUGGUUUUGAAGGAUCCAGCCAUAAACCUGAAGAAUAUUCUUCCAAGCAGGAUAUGGUCAACGGUGUCAAAGUACUUGCCCUUACACUCGCCAAACUUUCUGUACACUGAUGUCCAUUACCCACCAUUCAUAGACAAAAUUGCAUGAAAUUUGUUUAGUUCAUGGGGCUUUAUCUGUACACUUUUACCACUUUUUAUAUCAAUAAAUAAAUACAUUAGGAUUCCCUUGAUAUCCCACGUUGUUAUUUUCCAGUCACCACCAUGCUAAGUACUUUUAAGAUCAUGAACUCAACUUCUCAUUUCCAGUAACAAAUGAAGAGGGAUUGUUCUUCAGUUUACAAUGAAGCACACUCUAAGAAGUGAGAAAGCACUAGUAGUCCAGUUCCAGUAGUAGCUAGACGGCAACAACAGAAAGGAGAAAUGUACAGAUACAAGAACAGACGAUAAUCUGCAUACUGUGGCAGCUUGUUGACACUUGUAUUAACAAAACAAGAAAUCUGUCACCAGGUAGGAGCAGGACCAGUCAGAUGCUCUUCACCGCCAGCAAAGAUGCAGCCUUGGAGAUGGUAAUAGGCGCAUAGCUAGUGGGUUCCUCGGGUUUCUCAGCCUUCUCCAUCAGAAUCUCAAUCUAAUAUCCACAGAUGCAUAGGGACGUUAGGGGGGUGAAAUAACAUCUGCUACUACUUUUUGCAUAAACAAACAUCUUUCUAUAUGCAGAUACCAACCUUAGCCUUCUGAAUUACGCGCCCAGUGUCACUGUCCAUGCUUUCAACGCUAGACAUCUUGAUACCUGAUUGGUGGAGUUCCACAAUUAAAUAAACUUCAGUAACAAAACAACACAGAUCAGGGAAGUUAUGGUGAUUAAGAAUGAAUAAUCCAACUUACUUUUCUCAACACCCAGUCCAAUGCGUUUCAGAUUCUCGGCAAUCGUAACCACAGUGGGAAUAGCUGGUACCACUCAAACAGCGUAAGUUAUAAAAUCAAAUUCUGGACAAAAUCACAGAGACGAAGAAAUUAGAGUGUUCGAUGAAAGUUACCCAUUCCAAGAGCAGAGAGCUCUACGUGGUUGUGCUGCUUGAUGUGCCUCUGCAACAAAACAAAAACAAACGCUUACAACGUUUAACAAGAACACGAUAUUGCAGGAGAUGUUUAACAAGAACUCCGAAUGAUUAACAAUCAUACACACAAAACGCCAAAAUGAUACUACUCGGAAUCGCAGAGCAUCAAGCGAAAAUAGCUUAACAUAACGAAUUUCAAGUCCAUAUUAUCAAGAAUUGGGAAGGAAGAUAGAAGUUUCUACCGAAUCCCUAGAUUUCCUCUGUUUCCAUCAAGAAAUUAGAUGAGAGUUGCGCUGUUUUUACCUUGGCGAGAUUGAGAUAGAAGACGAAGGGGUUCUUGCUGUUGGACACUUUAAUCGGAUGCUCCCUCCUCUUGUUUGCCUUCUUCUUCUCCUGACUUUCUCCAGCGACAUCAGCAGAAACAGUUGGAACGACUUCGUCAGUCUUGACGAUUGAUGGAUCGCCGGAGACCUCUUGGACUGUCGCGGCGGCAGCGGCGGGGGAGAUGAGCGUCAUGCCUCCGUUAUUGGCCUCGUACUCCGUGGCGCCACCAUGAAUCUGACUAUCGGAAUCCUGCUGUGGAAGAAUAACCGCCAGACCUUCCAUUGAAGCGAGUUUUCUGAUCUCUGAUCUUGAAGAUGUUGAAAGGGCGGGAAAUUUUGUUUAGAACUGUGAAAAAGGUAUAGAUGUUGAGUGGUGGUUGAUGAAAACGAACUGUGAAAUGUGAACAGAAGAAUAGCGGGAGAAGGGCGACUCUGUUUUUAUUUGCAGUCCCUCCAAUUGAAGAUCGAAACGUGUAGAGAUGGGAUUGGUUUGGGCAAGAAGAUAUCUUCUUGGCGGUUAUCGUCGAACGGUUAAGCAGUCGAUCGAAGGACGUAUUUGCCCCUCGUUUCUUGAUUCUGUUACUUGCACAGUGCGUGGGCUGAAUCGAGAUCGAGAGUAAAGCUACGGCCCACGAUCUUGCAGCCCACGUUCUCUAGCAGUAUUUAGCUUCCAAGACUCUGUCCUAUAACUUGUCCAGCUGCUUCAGGGCUUGCCAGCUAAGUUUGGACCGCAUUGCUAAGUAGGAUUCUGAGACUUCGCCCCGUGAGGAAAUGGUAGCGUGCAGGCAGAUAGCUAGAUAUAGUAAGAGACGAACUCUUGGGAGUAGGAUUAGGAAAGGUUUCGAAAUUCUAGAUUUUAAGAUUUGUUAAUUUAGAUUUAUUGUUAAGGAUUAAAAUUUGAAAUACGAUCUAGAAUAUUUUAUUUUAUAAUAUAGUGUUUUGGGGUUAAAAUUUGAUAUUUAGCAUGGUGUUUACGUUUAAUUGUAACAUGUAAUAUGGGUAACUAAGCGCUCAUUGUCAUUCUUUUAUAACUAGGUAGUGUAUCGAUUGAAAUGACAACAUUGUUUGCUAGCUAUAUAUGUUAUUGCUUGGUGAGCUGGUUUUCAUAAUUUAGGAGUCAACUUAAGAAUAAGCACGAUAUGAAAUAACUGAUGAUUCGGUAAUUCUUUUAUGUUUCCAAAGUGAUUUUAUAGAAGAAGAAAAAAUAUUGAAUUGUUGUCGAGUACAUCAUAAAGUAAAGGAGUGCUGUUUCCCAAAUAAACUAUCAGCACCAUGCAUGAAGUUUGGUAUUGUUCAUUCGUGUUGGCUAUAUAUAAUAAUAAUAAUAAUAACAAUAAUAUAUAAACGUACCUAAUAUAGGUCGAUUAUUCCUUCUUCUGGAACAUUAAAAUUGACGUUUUAUUCCUUGAUGCAUGGCCAUUCAACAACACUUAAGCCAGGAAUGUUAAUCCAAAACGAACUAGCUAGUCAACUACUACACCACCAACAACAACAAUAAGAAGAAGAAGAAGAAGAAGGGGGCAAAUUGCAAAUGAUUGGCACGCGUAAUCCGACAAGAAGGAACUUGUGAAUUUGAUAUCGAAGCUUCUCUUUUAAUUAAUUAUUAUGUCCUUACCAUAAAUAAAUAAAUUAUACUAUAUGAAGGGAACAGACAUGAAAUAAUGUUUCCUACGGGGUUUAUUGUCAAAUCCCAAUAGUUAUGCGACUUAGAUGAGCUAUCUCUUGCAAGAUUGAUGAAGAAAUGAUGUGUGUGAAUGGAUAACCUUUUAGAAAUUAAGGAAUAAAUAAAAUGGAUCUUCAGUGAUUUUGAUGGAAAAGUAAAAGGUGGCCCUCUGCCCUUUCGGCUACUCACGUCAUUUUUCCUUUACAUAUGGAAUAGCUUCAUUUCAGUUCCUUACGUAUACAAACGUGAAUGUUCUUCUUGUUUUCGGUAAUAACAUUGGAGUUUGAAUUUAACAUUUCGUCCAAAUUGUUGUUAAUUUUGUCGAUAUGGCAGAACCAAUUAGCAAGAUCAGUCAUGUGACACUGUACCACUCAAAUUUCGGUUCAAUACUUAAACCGAACGAACCGUUGCCCAAAUCCGGGCCACCCAAAAUAAAUCACAUUGGCUGACUUUUCGUAUCCCUAGUUCAAUUCGAGGAAUAAGAUAUCCCUAACUAUCCAUCUCUCCUUUACUUCCAAUGCAAAUGACAAGAACAAAAAGGUAGGGUUUCACACCAUUGCUUUGAUUCCAUAGCUCUGUUCUCAAGCUUUCUGUGAUUCGAAAACUUGUUAUCUUCCUUUUAUGUAGCUGCUUCUUCGACCUAGCACUUUCCUCCCACUUCCAAGCUUUUUUUUCUUCCUCGACUAAAACUGCAGUCAAUUUAUCUUAUAUGCACUGGACCAGUGCAGGGACUUAUUAAUGUGAUGAAUGCUAUGUUCCCUAAUGUGGAACAUAGGUAUUGUGUUCGUCAUCUUUACGUGAAUUUCAGUUCAAAGUUCACCCGUUCAGAGCGAUUGAAAAGUUUAUUCUGGGGAGCUGCCACUGCUACAUAUGAAGCUGAGUUUAACCGUUGGAUGGCUGGAUUGGAGCAGCAAGGGGCGGCAUAUAAUCUUGUAAUAUUAUAUAGACUAGCACUCUAUACUGUUUAGAAAGGAGAAAAAGAUGGAAUAUUUAGUGGGAGGUGGAGAUCAAGAAUGGAAUGGGGAAGGUAUGGGUCAUAAAAUGAAUAAACAAUUAAGAAUGAGGGAGAGGGGAGGUUGUUAAGGCUUAAUCAAUUAGGGUUAAGAAGGAUAAUCAAUCAGAGAUGUGGGCCAUCCGUCAUUUAGCUUAAACAAUUAGAUUAAUUUGGAUGGUAUGUCUCUUCUCUCUCUCUCUCUCUCUCUCUCUCUCUCUCUCUCUCUCUCUCAACAAGAUCAAUGCUUUGUCUUGAAGAUUAAUAUAUAUAUAAUAUUAUACACAAUUUGGACUCUGCCUUUUUACUGUUUGAACUCUCUCCUCUUGUCAUUUCCGUUGAGAAGGAGAUGGUCAACAUUUGGGAUAGCUAGCGUGUUCUAACAACAUAUUUAAAGCGUUAGUAUCUCCGAGCGAGAUUCAUGAGUUGAUGUAGGUAACGAUGUGGGUGGUUUGAGUUUAUUCAUGUUUAUAAAGAAUGCAAUUACGCAAUAGAGUACCUUAUUAUGUUGAGCACGAUAUGUCAUUAAAUGUGAUAUAUUUAGUGUUUUUGAGAACAUGUUGAUUUUGAAUAAAUGUUAAUCACGCUCUAUCAAAAAAAGCAUUAGUAUGCCCACAGGAUUUUGAAACUGAUUUUUUUUAUAUUUUCACAAGAAGUUAAUUUUUAUUAUGAUUACUAUAUAUAUUACCCUAGUCCAAGUAUGUUUUAAAAAUUUAAAAAAAAAAAAAACUAAAUUGAGAAAGAAACAGCAUAAUAUAUACACAAAUAACAAGUGCUUAAAACUAUUGAGAGUUUGGCUUGAUUGGAAUAAUGGGGUUUAUAUGUAUAAAAAGUAAGUAGCUGGUUAGUGCACGAAUCCUACUGUGAGAGUCUUGUUUGGUUUCGGAAUUAGGCGUAUACGUGUAGUUAAUAAAGAGGAAAUAUGGUAGGAAAUAGGGAAAUUGAUUUUGAUAAUCUAUACCAGAAAUCAACAUAUAUACAAGAUAUAGAGUUGGUAUAGGAGCACCAACUUUGUGAAUAUGAGUGGGUUUGGUUGGGAGUUUGAUAUGGGGAAUGCAGACAAAGGACGGAGGUGGUUUGAAGAACAAAAUUAUGUGGCAGUGGCUUUGUACGUAAUUGGGUUACAAGAUUCUCCCACGAAUUAAGGAUAUUAUAAACAACUUCUGCGUAAUUAAUCUAUUAAAUUUGUGCGUGGAGUUGGUGGAAUGCUAAUCAUAAUUCUGGCGUGUUGGCGACUUUACUGAGGUAGAAAACAAGUUGACAACCCACUUUUCUUAUGAAAAUGUUCUUUUGUUCAAAGUAGAUUAAAAUUAUUGGUGAAUAUAAAAUAGAAAAUAUAAAAAUAAAUAUAUGUUUAUUUUUUGAAAGUAUAUUGAAUUUAAAUUUAAAAUUUGGGCCUGCUUCGCCACCACAAUCAUCCACCGGAACUUCCGCCGCCGUUCGCCGGCAACCUCCGCCGCUGGGCGCCGGGCUGUUGUGAAAGUUUUUUAUUUUGCUAUUUUAUAAAAAUAUUGGAUAUUAUUAGAUGAAGAAAUGUGUGUAUUGUAUUUGAAAUACACACAAACUUAGCAUCCAAACACAUGAUUUCAAUUUGAAAAUAAUUUCAAAUUCAUGCAUUUUAAAUGCAUUAAUUUUAAAUUCCAAAUGCAAAUACACCUAUUCAAACCCACCCUUACUUAAUUACGAAGACUAAGAAAGUUUAUAAGUAGAGCUAUUAUUUGGGUACUCCGGAAUACUUCUUAUGUGGUUGAUAUGAGCAUCAAUGACACAGUGUGUAAGUGACAACCACAUAGAAGAGUAUUUGUCUUCGGGGUGGCAAGUCACAAGGGGAUUCACAAGAUUAUAUUUAAAAUAAAUAUAGAAUAUUAUUGGGCUAAAAUUAAAAAUAUAUCAAAUUANNNNNNNNNNNNNNNNNNNNNNNNNNNNNNNNNNNNNNNNNNAUAAGAAAAAAUUAACUAAAAAAAAAAAAAACAUAUAUAACAGAUGGUCGUGGGCUGAGGCAGUCAUCCCACAUCUAUCCCUUUCGCCGUUGUUUCACCCGUAUAUGCCAUGUUUUAAAAUUCUUUUACUAUAUAAUUGUAUUUAAUAUUCUACUCACUACAUAUCUUGAACGUAUAUGUGUGUUUAUGAACAACAAACAUAUGAGUCAAUCUGCUAUUACUCAUGACUCAAAUUGAUUAAAGAAAAUAGAACUUACAAAGGAUUAAAUGCACAUACCCGAAUGUCAUAACUCAAUUAGUGUUGCAAUAAACAUAUAAAUGUAUCGAAUUUAAAUAUUAGUUUUGACUAUCCUUCUUCGUUACAUCAUUGUCUUGGACUCAUAAUUCAUAAUUCAAAUAAUAAUUUUUCAAUAUGUUUCAGUAAUCAUGUAAAACCAUUUGAAUUGUGGUCACCUUGAAUUGAUAAUAAUUAUUUAUAAGUUGAAAAGUAAAUAUUUGUGGGGUCUCAACACUUUUUAUAUGCUAUAAUCCACCUGCCCAGCAUGUCGACACAGGAUCUUCAUUUUUGAAUGAAAUAAAGAACAAAAAGCAUCCAUUUCUUUAACUAUUACAGUAUUUCAAUAUUCAAAUUUCAGACAUAACGCCGUGAAGAAACGGCGUCAACACCGACGGACAUCAGUAGUAUAAAAACCAAGUAACAGAAAGAAACAAACACCCCAGCCAAAGCAAAGCAAUUAGAGACCGGGAGAGAAGAAGAAGAGAGAAUAUACGGAUAGCUCCAUCUGAAACUGCCAACAGAUUACAGAUCAGACCAAAAACUGUGAGUAUUCUACGUAAUCCGCCAUUCUUCCAACUCUCAAUCCCUUCCUUCUGCGUCCUUCCUUCAAUGUAGCUUCAAUUUCGAUCCGUUCUCUAUCACCAACUCUUGACUGUUUGUUUGCUUAUGCAUAUCGCUGAUCUCAAUGCUAUGGCCGGUGGAAUUUUUUUCGUUUCUUUUCUUGGCUGUAAUUUUGACGCGGAAUGAUGUCCGUUUUUGGAGCUUAGUUUAUUGAUUGGUUGCGCAGAAAAUGUUGGAUGGAAAUUGACGAGAGUCGCUAGCUCUUCUUUUUCUUGUCCUGCCAUUGCUUAAAAAUGCUUGCCUUUCGAUUAUUUUUUUAUGAAUUUGUGUUUCUUUACAUGGUGAGCGGGGGCUUUCUGUGUGGUUUCGAGAGCUCUAGCUGGUUGUGAAUAUCUGGUAUUGAGAAGCCAAAGACGGAAAUUGUAUGUUACCGCUUGAAAACUGAUUUCUUUCGUUGUUAAAAGGAUUUCAAAAAGAGGAAAUUAAACAAUUGUUAGUUUGUGUAUGAACACUUCUUAGUACGAAGAACUAGAAAUGGGAAAGCGAUGAAGCUAGUUCUUCACUUCACCAUCCUGACUAUCUGAGUUGCUGUUUGGGAUUUUUCAUUUAUAUGGUCACCCUCUUGUCUUUAAGUAGGCUUCAAUUCAUCCCUUUUUCAAGAAAGCCGGUUAGUUUGCUGCUUCCAUUAAUUUAACGACAAACAAUGAUGAUCUUGUGUCAUGCUUUCAAGUAAUUAGAUAUAUUGAUUCUUUAUUAUUUGUUUUAAUCCAUUAUUGUGUACGGACCUUUUGUUUCCUCUGAUUACUCCGUUAUCUCCUGAUGAAGCAACAUUUUUCUGUUGUCAAGUGCUAGUUGUAUGAUUUGUUUUUUGUUGGACUGGCUACUCAUUGCAUGUGUAUAUUUUCUGGGGCCGAGUUCCAGCAGAUCAAUAUUGAAAAUAUCUAUCAUAGGUAAGGUUAUUUAGAUAUUAAAACCUGUUUUCAUUUCAAUAUACGAUUUUGAAAUUAGCCUGCUACAUAACCAAAGACAUCGACAUAUGAGCCAUGUGGACAAUCUGUUGAAACUUAACAUUUGUGAUUAACCUGGGUCGAUGAUUGAAAAAAUAGCACAGGGACAGUGUUGAGGUGUUCAAUGGGAGGACAUGAAACAAAUUUGAAAAUCAAACAUAAUUUCUGAUGUUCUCUUGUUGGUUUUUGUAGGCAAUGAGGAUAGACAUUAUGGAAAUCAGCCUGGACAAGCAGCAUGAUUGUGAAAUUGCUCACCUGAAUGGAACUCCCCAUGAUCUAGAUCAUCCUUCUAUCCCCAAUCAUGACGUAGCACUUGAUUCCUACGAGGGAGUCAGUGUGGACUCUGAACAACAGAGUGAUGAAGGGAGCACUGAGUCAAAGGACUAUGAAGUGAAAGAAUGCACAACUGAAACUAUGAUUGGGAGUACUGAAAUUUCCAUUGCUUACCAAAGUAAGGAGGAUCAGUCUGCAGCAAAUUCAAACUUUGAGGCUGGUUUGGAGGAGAAAUUCAAAUCAGAAACCAAGGCAUCAAGGGAUGAGAACAAGUCACAUAGUUCACCUAAGAAACUUGCAAGCAAGUCUGGAGUUGCUCGAGCGAAGUACACCGUUCCUAGACCAUUUGCCCUAGCUACUGAAAAGCGUGCAUCAUCCGGACCUCGUCCUUCUGCAACAGGCGCUAAAGCUGUUGUGAAUAAACAAUCUAAAGGAAACAGAGUGCUCCAACCAAAUACGUUAAAACAGAAUCAGGUAGUUUUUGCAAGAAUAUAAUAAUUAUCUUCCAGAUUCUGCAGUUUCCAGAGUUUAGAAUUCAAAUGUCACAUAUGCUUACAACAUUGAUUUUAGGACAUUGACGUCAACUUGAAAGUGUUAGGUGCUGUACAUGAUACAUCUAGCAUAACCUGUUGGUAUCAUUUGAUCAAAGUUGAUCGUGAUGUAUUGCUCUGUGUUGAAAUGCAGCCUCUUUCAGUAGCAAGAAGGCCACUGCAACCGAACAACAAGAAGCAUCCUGGUGAAGAAGAUUCUUGUUCUGUCACUUCCUUGUAUCCUUCCUGCUACCAGCAAUUUAUUUUUUCAUUGAUUCUCUACUUAUCCACUACUCAGUCUUUUGGGCCCUAUAUAGCUCAUUUACUGUUCUCGGGUUGAUGUUAAACCUUGACUAUCUUCAGCACAGGAACUUCUGUACAGAAAACGAAGACAAAAUCAGUUAUUGCAUCACCUCCGACAUUCAGAUGCACUCAACGAGCCGAGAAGCGCAAGGAGGUAUACCGUUAUGAUAACAAUCACUAUGCGACUUAGACCUAUGAGGCUUGAUGUUGGAUCCAAUGUCUACUCUAUGAUUUGCUGCAAAUGAUCUGAUCGAUCUUUGUUGUGUUUCUAUGAUUUAGUUUUACUCAAAAUUAGAGGAAAAACAUCAAGCUCUGGAGUCUGAGAAGACCCAAAAUGAAGCCAGGACAAAGGUGAAGCAUUUUAUUGAUUCUGUCAUGUUCAAGCUCAUCUAAUAAUUUGGAUUUGAUGGCUGAGUCUCAAACUUUAUGGUUCUGAUUUACUCUGUGUGUCAACUUGUUUUUUUGUCUCCGGAACUUAAAGGAAGAAAUGGAGGCAGCUAUCAAGCAAUUGAGAAAGAGUUUAACGUUCAAGGCCAACCCAAUGCCAAGUUUCUACCAUGAGGGUCCACCACCAAAGAUCGAGCUUAAAAAGGUACCACAUAAAUUCUGGAGUUUUCUGUUGUCAAUGACUCAAUGUCAGAUGUUAUGUUAGCGCACUUUGUAGAAACAUUAUAGUUUUCAAAACUUGCCAUUUUGAACAAUAGGUGGCACCAACUCGUGCAAAAUCACCAAAGUUGGGUAGAAAUAAGAGCACUGGUGUUGAGACAAAGACUCCAUCCCAGACCAAAGCAGUUCCCAAUCAGGAAAGUCAUCUAGGCCGUUCCGAAGAAGGCGAAGACAAUCCUCUGGAAGAACCAAGUCGAGCUAUUCCAUUGGAGGCGAAUCGAAACAACAUGGCAAUCGUCAUUUGAGUCAUAAUCUUGCAGAUGAGUAAUUAAUUUAUGAAGCAACUGGUGUCGUCUGUUAUCUAAUGUUAAAGUUUGACUGUUAAUAUAUUCGUUUGUACCUCCAGGUUUGUCAUCUAAUGUUAUCUUGUGUAAUUUAUUUCUGAUGAAGUGUAAAUCUGUUGUUAAGUUAAGACGUUGUCUCUGUACGGAAAGCAACUUUGUUCUUGAAAUAAACUUCAUGUUCAGACUGAUUGGAGGCCUGUUUAUCUAUGCUUUAUUUUGGUGGAAAUUAAUGGUGUUGCUUGAAUCUUAAAUCCUGGUGUUUUACACGAUAAUAGUAACAAGUGUGUCAUCAUUAAAAGCAAAAGAGAUUGAUGAAAGAUUGCAAAUUGGCCGCUCCAAAUGGCUUAAAAGCACCUGGCGCUGUUUUAAGUGGGGCUUUUGUUUUACUGUUGCGUAAAGGACUUGUUGAUUUUACAGGCUUGCCCCAUUUUUCUCAGGUAAUUGUUAUUAUUAGUCCCUUUCGUAUUGAGAUUGAGAUGAACGAUGUUAGACAUGUGAUCAUACUUGACCAAAACUUGAUACCUAUCUGUCGAUUGGAUAGCUAAGUGAUGGUGUUCGGUUUACGAUCAGAAAGUUAAUAUUCCAAAAUUGAUUGUAAUUUUGAAUUUGUAUAAUAACCAAAUUAAAUAGUCUUCGCAUAACAAAUUCGUACUGUACUCAUACUAAUAAUCUGAGCAAACUACAAUUGUAAGAUCAACACUCAGAAGCAAAAUCACCAUGUAACUAGAAUAAUUUAGCUGGUGUCGAGCAUAUCCUAGAGGUGCAAAUUUUGGGAAGCCGCCUACGUACUAGGUAUGAAUUAGAAAACAUGGAUAGCUUAUUCAUUUGAAAUCGAUCCGGUACUGUAACAUCUGAACCGUAUUACAAGAUUUUGAGCUUCCGCGACAACUAUAUAUCACGGAAAAUGUCUGAAAUUAAAAGUUUUCACACCCUCAGAAAGAAGAAAUUCUGGGAAGCCUCCUACACGAAAUUUAGAUAUCUUUUCUCUUAUAUAGCAUGGCAGUUCUUAUUAUAUUGCGUGCUUCUGCUGUCUGUGAAACAAAACUAAAAGAUUACACCAAACGAACACAGACAGUGAAAUUCUUUUCCACCCGUAUUGAUUUAUCUGCUUCGUUGGUUUUGUUUAUGAAUGAAUGACACGCUUACUUUGUCACGUAUAUAAAAGGGCCCAUCUUAUGAAAAGAAACCAAAAAAAGAAGAAUGCAUGGGGAUAUCAAAAUCCAACAGUCUUCUCUUGCCCCCUCCAUUUCUCUCUCAUUCAUCUCUAUUUCUUUCUGUGUCACACACUCUGUUUUCCUCUGUUUCUGGGCAGCGCAGAAACCGAAACCGUACAGUAGGAUGUUAGAGUUGAGGGGAAUGCUGUCUGGUUCGAGACCAUUCAUUCAUUCAUCUUUCCAGAUAUGAACGACCUCGGACCAGGCUUCAUUCCCCCCAACUUCCAACAUUUCACAGCUCUCUGUUUUUCUGUUAGGAGGAACAAUGUUCGAGAAUUUCCAAUGAUUGAUUGUUGGGCUGCCACAAUUCAGAUUGUUUUGUCUUUUUCGUUGCAGGUACAUCUCUGGUAGAUUCUGGAUACCCUUUUCGUAAUUUUCUUUCAAUAUAUUUGGAGAGCUUUGCAGGGGGUAGCCGACAAAGUGACAUCUUGAUGAUGGUAUAUUGGCCAACAAGAGCAACUGCGUUGAAAUCGGCCAUGGAAGAUCUCCUUAGGGACAAAAAAUGCAGGCAUUGGUUGAUCAUCACCAAAUCUGCGGAGAUUGUGAAGUAGGAAGAAAGACAGUAGGUAAGUGUUUGGUUUGGUUUGUAGUGUUGGUGUGAAAAACUGACUGUAAAGCAAAGAAAUUAUGAAAAGGAAAGAUAGAAAGUGAAAGGUGGAGAGAGUCUGUGUCUGUCUGUGGUGGUUCAUUUCUCUCUUUGCCAAUAUUUGGACUUUGCUUGCAGUGAGCUGCAAAGAAUAUUGAUUCUUCACUUGUGUUCAUCUUCUCACCUCAAUUUCUCAUGACUGAUGAUUAAGAUGUUACCCUCUUAAAUUAAAAAUUAUCAGUAUAUAGAGUACUAUAGUAUAACUUAACUGAUAUGAUCUUGUCACAUCAUACACACACUAUAUGUUAGACAACAUGAUUAGCACUCCACACUGAUAGAAUCCAAAUAUCAACCAUUCCAAAAGGGUGACUUUGAAUUGAAUUUUCUUCGGUCACUUUGUGUUAGGGAAGACAUGGUAGGUAUUCUAACCAAACCUCUGCACUAAAUUGAAGACCAAAUGGGGUCAGAUUUUCAUUUAUUCAAUUUGGUUGUGUGGGUCUGCUCUCUGCUGCUACUGGUUUUGCCUCUUUCUACUCCAUGUGGGUAAUGUUUUGAUCAAUUAAACAUCUAAAUUAAUCAACUCUAUGUUAACUACCUAAUACAGCUCCAGUAUUAGUCAGAGAGUGUGAUGCCUUGCCAUUGUAGCAGCCUCAUCCCCAUGUGGCUUUCAAUAUCAUCAUCAUCAGCAUUCAAUUUACUAGAGCCCCACUGAUCUCCCUCACUGCCUCUCCUCAUACCCUAUAGCUACAACAACUAACAGAUCAUCACAUAAUGCUAUUGGAAAUGAAAGUUAGCUGUUACCAAACUCCCUACCAAUACAAACUGAGAAACAAUUGGCUUGAAUGACAGGCUUGGUCGCGCCAUCGAAUCCAGUCCAUCAUUUCGAGCUUAAGAUGAUCUCAUUUGAUGCAAACAGAGAAAAUUGUUAACGAUCGAGAAGGAAGACGAAGAACAAUCACACAAGACACGAUUUACGUGAUAUCCUCAACAAGAUCGUCGAGACUAAUCCACUGCACAACGGCAAAGAUAUCUUAUUCAGAGAGACUGUCACGAAUACAGUCAAAUACAAUCGAUAGCCUUAUAAGGUGUAUCGGCCUAGUAUAUAUACUCGUAAAGACAACCAGAGGACGACGAGAACUACAUAAUAAACCCACAACUCGAGUUGGGCCUUAAGGCCCAUUCGACAUAUCUGCUAACACCCUCUAAAAUUGAUGGUCAUCUCGACACAUCAAUUUGCUAGCAAAAAACCAGUGACGACCAGUAACAACCGACUUGGUUUCUGACUUGUUUACUGUUGGCAUGAGAAGGUGGAACAUUCCCCUCAAAUUCAUCCUGAGGGGUGGCGCGCUGGUCGAGUUCGAGCAUUUGAUGAAGCGGCUGGUCGAUGCUCCAAAAGAUAUCAUAACUGCGGGGCCGGAUACCAUCAUAUGGCCACUGGAAACCAACUCCAACUUCUCGAUCAAAUCUCUCAAAAAUUCCUUGACUUAUGAGAGACUUCUAGGUGACCUCUCCUUCCCUUUUUCUACAAUCUAGGCUAAGGGCAUUCCUUCCAAGGUUCAAAGUUUCAGCGGGAGGGUUUAUCAUAAGAAGAUCGCAACUCUCGACAAUCUCCAAAGGCGGGGAUUCCAAUUAUCAAAUUGGUGUGUUUUGUGCAAAGCGCACGAGGAAUCGGUGGAUCAUCUAUUCUUUGCGUGUGCCUUUUCCCUUGCAGUUUGGAGAAGAACCACUAUGAAACUUUCCAUCCACGGACCGAUGCUUCUUCAUAUCGACGAGGUUAUCUCUUCGUGGACAGGUUUGAACUGCAUACUCUCUUUCAAAGAUGCAAUGAAAUUGGUCUUGCAAUGCUGCUAUGUGGUUCUUUUGGCUCGAAAGGAAAGAGAGGAUUUUUAACGACGAUGAGAAAAAUGUUGAUUCAUUGUUUAAAAGAAUCAUGGUGAAUAGUGGACAGUGGGCGCAUGCGACGGGAUUCUUCUCUCCCAAUAGACUACGACAGUGGACUUGUUCAAUGUAUAAUUUAUCUUUUGAAAAAAUAUACAUCCAAACGAAUUCUCAAUAGUUUUUCUUCGACUUUGAAUCAUCCAAACGAACUUUACAGAUAGCCAGAUAGGGAUACCCGCAGAUUAAAAAUGGGUAUGAAGGCCCAUGAUUCGAAGCCCGCUUGUUUAAAUCCAAUUAAAGUGAGAAAUGCCAAAACAAUGAAGGCCCAUAAGUCAAAGCCCAUUAAAUUUAUGUGCACUAGUAAUAGACUAAUAGUGAGAACAGUGAGCUCAGUAUUUUUGUUUUAAUCUUAGAGAGCAAAUGAAUGAGAAUAGAUAUUAACCCUCCAAAUAAUAAAACCAAAAGUAUGAUAAUAGAAAUGUAGAGUUCACCCAAUUACUGAAAUUAACUGUUGAAAUUACCAAUUAUCCCUCUAUUGCAGUUGAUAGGUCUAGGAAGAAGAUUCAUUUUUCUAACCGAUUGAUGCAAUAGACAAGAGAUGGAGUUAUUGAUAAGAAUAGUACUUUGCGAGUUUGCCAAUUUGCGUAAUAAGGACAAAAAGGAUAUAUGUUAUAAGUGGAUAUUCAAACGAAGAUGAAAGUAUUCCACCCACUCGUAGGAACGAAUUUAGAAUGAAAAAUAACAAGUUUGUUAAAUUUAAAAUAAAAAAAAGCAACCAUAUGAUAAAGAAAAACAACGGCAACGAAGUAGCAUACAUUUUGAAAUGAAACCUCAUAUGUGGAUACUUGUACCAGUAUCGUGUCCCAUUUGGCACCACUCCACUGCAGUGAAGAAAAUAGCUCUGCAGCGAGCAGUCUCUUCAUCUGACUGACGGAACCUUUCCAUAAAUGUAAAUUGUAAUUUCCAAAUCGGGUUGUGUGGUGUACGAUUGGUGGCUGCUCAGCUUCCUCCAUCGAGAGGAUGGUGGUGGUUGGGUGUCCACAUACACACGACUACAAAUUAAUACAGUACUGUCAAAUGAACUUAAAAAGACUCUACUGACCCACCCACCAUCUCAAUACUCGUAACUAUUACUUGUAAUUGUACUUACUUGGAAUUUGGAUCCUCAACCUGAUUUCGACACAUUGGUUGCAGCAAGUCAGCAACAGCUAUCAAUACCACUGGUCCACACGUAGGUUUCUCCACAUCCAGCCAUCCAUUCUUCUCCAUUAAUAAAUGAAACGAAAGGUUCUAUUUUUCCAUCCCUUUCUUCUCUUCUACCACCACCCCCACCAAAUUCAUUCUCCAAGGAAUCAGCUGGUUAACCCAUCAAGCUAAUACAUAUCAACACCAUCCAUACCACAUCACAAGACAACCAAUAUUACAGGAAACUGAAAUGAUGUCUAAAGUCUGUUUUACCCGUCCAAAGUUCAACUUGUAGCUGGAAUGAAUUCCUCAAUCGAGCAAUUACUACAUCCAAUCCAACUUUUUGGAAUAGCAUACUCCAUAGACAUAAAUUCGAUAUACAAAUUUAGUGGGAGGACCACUAACUGCAGUAGCUGUAGUGUUGUGUUGACUCACCCAAUAAUAAAACACCACAAGCUUAAUUGCAACUGUUUUUAGGUCAAAAUUGAACAAAGUGUCAUCACCCCCACAACACAACACAACACAAGCCACAAGACUUUUCUGUUAAAAUAAUCACAACUCAAAUCUCGUGCCACUUAAUAAUAAUAAUAAUACAAUAUUAAGGAUGCGAUGCUAAGUUAAACCCCAUCCCCAACAUUAAAUAAUAAUAAUAAUAAUAAUAUGGAACUUGUUCAUAUUCAGUGUCCCAUGCAUGAACAAUGAAGAUGGAGAUGAUGUCAUGUUUAUCAAAUUCAACAAUGUGCCACUGUCUGUCUCAAAACAAUACAACGUCCAAAUUACUAAUUUGAUUUUUUCUCUUCGCCCGACAAAUCCAAAUGAAGAUUGAAAUCAGCAGUUGAGAUUUUAAAUUUAUUUAUUUUCACAGCAGCAGCAGCAGCAUCAGGUUGGGGAAAAGCAGCAAUCACUCCUCUGGGAUUACUGUCAGAUAUCUAAAUGGCCGACGUGGCCUUUCCUUCACCUUUCACUUUUUCUUUUCAUUUUUUCGUAUUGUAGAAUCUCUCCUUUUUCCGCUCUGUUGUCUUUUCGGCUUCGGUGUUCACUUGCUCGCCGCAACCCCCGCAUGCCACUCCCCCUCCUCCAUACCCAUAUUUUCUUUCUUCCUUGCAAACUGAAACUCCUAACAAAACCUCCCUUUCCUUGUUUAAUUCUCCAUUGCACUGUCCUCCUCUUUUGCUCUUGUCGAAUUCUGAGCCUGUUUUGGCGUUAUAGAGUGAGUAAUUUGUGGAUGAAUGAAAGAAAGAACUCAACUUUCUGGGAGGUCAAGGGAUUAUAGGUAAGUGGGUCUAUCCUUUCUAUUGGGUAAAUUCCUCAAUUCUGGUAAAGUUGAAAGCUUUUAGUAUUAUAUCUUGUUGGUGUGUGGAAAUGGUGUUUCUUUGUUUGUGAUGCACCACCUAUAAUUCCUUUCUUCUUGAUGCCAUUUUACUUCACGUGGGGUGGGUUGUUGCUUUCUCCUUUAAUUUACAACGAUUGAUCUGUCUGUUUUGGUUUUAACUUUUGAUGAUUAGCAGCUCUUUGAUUUACUUACAAAAUUGUGGAGUUGCUUUCCAUUUACCUCAAUCGUCAUCUAUGUAACUGUUGGAAGCAAAUAGCUAUAAUAUUCUUAUCAGUGCGAGACUAGCACAUUUUCUUCGACCUUGUUUCAGUUUUGGCUAUAGACAAUAGGUAUAAUGACUAGGUAGAAACCAUUGCCUAAAGCUCUUUGAGCGGUUGUUUCCAUCCCCACUUCCUUAUCUAUUUGCUUCUUUCACUUAGAAGAUCAAGGUUCAUUCCUAAACUGAUUUCCAGAUAGAAGGGCGCAAUUCAAUUUGGAUGUUUUACUAGACUUCAAAUGUGCAGUCUUUUAUGUGUGUGGAUGAUGUUCAUGGGCUGGAAUGCUGUUUGUAAUGAUAGCUUUCCAUCAAAUGGAACUUCUCCUGAUUUCAAAAUCGUCUAUGUGGUUAUCUUCUACUAAUUCAUUCUAGUUUUAAUGUAUAAUAUAAAAACCAAUCUAAACUUUCUCUCAACAACUUGAGUUAUUAAGAUGCAACAGGUCUUGACAUGGUAUUAGAGCUUUAAACGAUAGAUAUGUCUUCGUUUCGAAUUCAGGUAGCCCCCAAUCCGCGCACAUGACUAACCGAAGUUGUGCAAAUCUCAACUCUUCCGAGAGCUUCGGUUUUAACANNNNUUCUGUUUUACCAGCCGUGCUAAUGAAUAAUAUAAAAGUCAAUCUGAAAUCGCAUACUCAAAAAGUUAAAGCAUGAGGAAUAGUAUACAGUCGAAUCUUCUAAGAGUGUUUGAAUUAUUUAAAGGAGUUAUAAUUUACUCUUCUUUAGCCAUUCAUUUUUGUAGAACAACUCAGAACCUCACAUUCAUACAAUCAUAAUCUCAAGUUCAAUGUUUCUUCUAUGCUUGCAUUAGUUUUGUCUCUACUUUGUACUUGAAGGAAUAAAGGAAAGUGAAUUUACACAGUUAUGAAUUAUGAUUGUCGGACAGAAUCUAUUAACAUACCCAAAAGUGAAAAAGGGGUCACAAGCCAAUAUCCAAGCGCUAUAGCUUGCAGCUUCUUUCCACUUUUGAUAGCUAGCUUGUAAUGUAACAAAUUUAGUGAACUGGAAACAAACAUUGAACUUGAUAUUUUGAAUUUUGGAGUGGGUUCUCUUACUAUCAUCAUCGUCUUCUGCAACAUAACACAGCAGUGUUAUAUAAUGUUACAACUACUAUAUAUGUAAACAGAACCUUUUGUGUGUAGCUAUCAUGAGAAGCCUGACCUGGAAUUAACUGGCGUUUCAGGGUUCCGACUGAAAGAGAUGAACGAUGAUGAGAACAGCAUAGCAUUUAAUGAUUUUGGACUGCUUUUGAAUUACUCUAAUCGAUUUAUUCAAAGGAGAUUGAACAGCGCUGAAGCUUCAGGUGCAGGUACAAAUGCAGAUCCAACUGUUGGAAUGGCAUUAAGAGCCAGUGACCCGUUGUCUGAGCUAGUUUGGUCCCCACGGAAAGGCUUGACUGUCAAAUGUGCUGAUCGCAGCUUCUUCAGCAGAAACACAUCGAGAUCUCGAGACAAUAUUGUAAUGGGUUCAAGCAGUGACACCAAACCUUUGAAUGAAGCGGAUUCUGUCAGAAUGGAUGUUAAUCUAACAAGUGAAGUUCCUGAAAGACAUCAUCAGUUCAUAAAUAUCCCAUCAAAUGAUGUGGAAGCCAUGCCAUGUAGCGGAUCUGGCCAUGACCUGAACGCAGGUAUAAAAUUGAGAAUCUCACUGAGAUUUCUUUCUUGUCAGAUUAAUUCAUGAUCAUUGUAUGUAUGCCCACUCAUUUAUUUUCUCUGUGGACAAAGGAAGCAAAUUCUUCUAAAGAUAGGCAGUCUUAUUGCUAAUAUCUCUCUCUUAAUUGACAUCUCUCCCAUUUCUUCUGCCUAAUAGCUGAGCACAAAUCUGAUGUGGCACAGCCCAGGCAAACUUUUCAGGAACCUGUUAAGGUAGUAAGUGAUAUCGGUGGAGGAAGCACAGAAGUGGGAAAACAAGGGGAAUGCAAAGCCAGCAGCUCUAAAAUGAAGACUGCAACCUUCUCAGGAAAAGUAGGUGAAGAAGAAUCACCUUGCUCCGUGGAGAAGGAUGUUUGUGUAGUUCGUCCACUGGAAAGAUUGGAGUCGUCCGAUGAGAAUGACCCGGGAAGUUCACAGGGUCAAAGUGUUUGCGUUGAGAAAAAUAAACUUGUGGUGGCAAUAUCUACCAAGAGACAAGAGCAUCAGGUGGAUGAGAUUCCUGAAGAUGACAGGCUGGCAGUUACAGAAUCUUAUCUAAAGGGAAAAGGAGUUGGAACUUUGAGGAACAGUUAAACAAGAGAGUGAAAAGGCAUAUCCAAGACACGCCCGGUUCAUCAUCAUCAUUGCUUAAACAGGACAGCUCAUUUGUAAAUUGGAUCUCUAACAUGGUGAAUGGAUUCUUGAAAACAACUCAGCAAGAGACACAACCUUCAUUUCCACUUAUUGUUGGUAACCAAGAUCCCGCCUGUACAAAUACUGGAUUCCAGUCCAUUUUUCAGUCCUUAUACUGUCCAAAGAAGAUGGCUGGUUUUAUGGAUCCGGGUCAUCAAAGAGAAGGUAGACCGGAUAGCCAAAUGUGUGACGUUAAUGCUACUCCGAUAGCCUGUCGUCCAGUGAGUGGUAAUAUCUUCAAACCAUUUCUUCCAUCUUCAGACAAACAUGGUGAUUCUAUGCCUAGCAUCAAUGUAGUAGCUGAGAAAAACAGCUCAUUUCAAGCUAAAGAUUCACGCAGUUCAGAAAGUUACAAGCAGAGGAAUGGAACAGACUUGGACAAAGCAAGGAUUAACAUUGCUCAUAAAGUUGACCCUUUUGCAAGCACCUGGAUAACUCGCUUUACGCCGAAAUCUUUUGCUUGUCCAGCAGACCAAAGUGUGGUGGUCUCUAACAAGAGCACAGGAGAGCUUCAUGCCUGUUCCCCUGAGAGAAUGCCAGCCAAAUCUCACUUGCAAAACCUUCUUAAUUCUUCCAAAGCGCGCUCAAUAAUGGAGACAGACGAGCAAUCACAUGUAAACCCUUGUUCUACUAGCGUGGAUGCUUCAUUUAGUUUCUAUAAAGUGAAGAGCCACCUUGGCGAGACUUCCUCAAGUAAACUGAAUCCGAUCCCACCUACGGAACGACUCGCAAAUUCAGAGGCAAUGGCUUCUGUGUUUGCAAGGAGGUUGGAUGCCCUCAAACACAUCAUUCCUUCAGAUGGUGGUGAUUUGAACGAUAAAGCUCCUUCGAGUAUGAUCUGUUUCUUUUGUGGCACGAGAGGUCACCAUCUACGAGAUUGUUCGGAGAUCACAGAUUGUGAGCUUGAGGACCUCUUGACGAACAUUACUACAUAUGAAGGAAGAGAAGAGCCGCCAUGUUUCUGCAUCAGAUGCUUUCAGCUCAAUCAUUGGGCUGUUGCAUGCCCUAGAGCGCCAGGCAGGGCAAGUCUUCAAGAAGAAUGUGACACCCCUCAACUCACUGGCAUUGGUGCAGUCAAAACACAGCUGAAUUCAAGAAAGGAAGAUAGCAAAAGGUUGUUAGAUAGCAGGUCUGGCCAACAUGCAGUUUCCAGUGGGACUACAGCUUGUGGAAUGAAGAACAAGAUGUUCUAUAAGACCACCAGUACUAGUAGAAAACUCCUAGUCGCUUCUUCAAGCUCUGGGGCUACCAAAUUAAAGGGUAUUCAGAUGCAUCCCUUGAUCAAGUCCGACAUUGUAGAUGUUCCGAAAGGAAUUUGCGACAUUGUAAAAAGCCUACGUUUGUCUCGGACAGACAUACUAAGGUUAGUUAGACAACUCCACAAUUGGCGGUAUAAGGUAAGGUUUGGCAUCUCGAAUCAUGUUUGUCCAGGAAAAUUGAAUUGGGGUGAGCUGAAGAAAGUUGAGUUGAGGUUGGAGAAGUUGUGGGAGGAAAGUUGAAUACAGUGAUAUAUAAGAGAUUCUAAGUGGAAUUAUGUUUCCCAAGCAACUCAAGUGGAAAUUAAGAUUCCCUAGUAAUCUUUUAUAUCCCUUAAUUGAACUUUCCUUCUACAAGUUCUCUCAACCUCAAUUCAACUUCAUUCCACAGAUCACAAUUGAGCUUUCCUUGAAAAGAUGAUUCUAGAUGCCAAACAUUGCCUAAAUUUGUUAUUUCAUAGGAUGAUUCUUGGCUAGUAAUGCAUUUUUUUCCCCUUGACAUCAGAUGGAUGAAUUCUGGAUUGCCAAUCUCACAGCUUGAUGGUUGUUACCUUCGGCUGCGGCUAGGAAAAUGGCAAGCUGGAUUUGGGGGAAGUGGCUACCAUGUAGCUUGCAUAACAAGUAUGGCCAAAACUACACGACCCCAUAUUUUACGGUUUUGCGGUGAAACCGUAUAUUCAGUUCUAUUGUGGCCUAUUCAGGUGGAGAAGGGACGAGCGGAUCACAACCAAAGUUCAGAAGUUGUGCGAGUGGAUCACAGUCCAAUUCCAGAAGUUGUGUACCUGUAGAUGUUGGUGGCGUCAGAUGUCUAGUGGAAUCUCAGUACGUCUCCAACAAUGAUUUCCUCGAGGUAGUCAGAAACCUAAUACUUGACCAUGUACUUGUUCGAAAGUCAUGGAUCGAUGCAUCAUUGUGUUGAAAUUGUUUCUAAUCCGGGGUCUGUUUUCGGAAACGUUAAGGAUGAGCUCAUGUCAUGGUGGUCUGCAACGCUGAAGGGAAACAAGGUACCAUGUGAAGAAGACUUGAGACUGAAGCUUAAAGAUAAGCAAAGGUUGGGGCUUUGACACAUGAUAUACUUGCUUGCCUUGAGGGAUUACUUGCAGAAAUCCCCUGGCCAUGUUGUAUUUGUAGACAGAUACCAAAAAGGCUUACUUGAAUAAAAAGGCGUGUAUGAAAUGAAUAUGCUAGAACAAAGUGUAAAAUGCAUCCAAGAUAGUAUUCCCUCUGUACAUAAUGCAAAAAAGGAGAGAGAUGGAAGGUCUAAUAUGGGUACGGGGAGUGUAUAGAAUAAUACAAAUUCUGAGGUGGGGGCGGACAGACAUACGAAUCAUUCCAUUAAUUACUUUGUUACUACACAUACUAAAAAAAGAGGGGAACCCUUCUGUUUAUUUGUGUAUAUCUCUGUUUCAUGUUUAAUGGAUGUAUGGUUACAUUAGAAUUUGGUAUGUUUGUAGAGUUGAGUGUUGGUAAUUCGAGAUAGUGGAAAAGACAUGUUUAUGCACUGUAAAAUUAGCUGGAUGUGCAGUAUCUGACUGUAACAAUUAGGUUGGUUUAAUGUUGGGGAUCCAUAAUUUUCAAACAAGUGGGGGCGUUCUCCGACGCAGGAGUGAUCCACUAGCCUUUCUUUAAUCUAAAAAAAUAGCAACAUUUUACCAAUUUUUAUCAUUACAAAUGAGCAAGGCAUGAAGCAUGUGUUAUGUUGUGUGGGGUUUUGAAUUAUUACAUCUUUGGCCACUUUGUUUGGUUUGGCAUCAUUCCCUACAAUUUAACCCAGGGGUCUUCAUAUUCUUCAUGUCCUCGUUAUUUUAUGGCUUGAGUUUCUUUGCUUGUGUUAAUUAUGGUGCGUAAUUUCAGUUCACCCUUUAGAUGGAGCAAAAGGGUAGUUAGUAUACACCAAGGGGCAUUUUGAUGAAUAUAUAUAUAAUAUAUAUAUAUAUUUUUCUACUUUUUUAUAAAAAUAUUUGUUUUAAUUCUAUAUAGAAUGAUUCUUAUAUCAACAAAUUUGUGAGUACAUUUUGUCUUAAAAAAAAUUAUGAGUAUUUCUUUUGACGAGAAGUAUGUUAUGAUGAGCGUUUGCUAGAUUGUGGUGUGACUUCCAUGUGGAGGAUUUUGAAACUUGGUUACUCACCCAACAAAAGCCUUGAUUUUGGGCUUACUUGUUGGUAGCUCUGGAAAUACCAAAACAAAGUUAUUUUCCAAAUACUAUAGCUUCCCAUGAUUAGAUCUACCUACGAGUCCUUCGUUGGAUCGUCGGGGUUCGGGAGACAAUAAGAUUGAAGGUAUAGUAUCUCUUAUCUACUCGGGAAGAAGUGCUUAUUGGAUGGCCAGCGGCAACCGGGGAUGUGGUUACUAUCAAUACAAAUGGCUCUGUUAUUAUGCUAGUUAGUGAGGCAGCUGCCGGUGGAGUUAUUCGUAAUAGUCAGGGAGAGGUGCUAGCCACUUUUGCAGCUAACCUGGGGCGGUGCACCAUCACACAAGCCGAACUGCGUGGAGCCAUCUUCGGACUUCAAAUUGCUUGGGAUAAGGGCUACAAGUAAGUGAACUUGCCGCUGGAUUCUCAAUGCGUGAUUUCAGCUAUUCUUGGCGAUCCUCCCAAUGACUUUAUACAUCUCUCUUGUAUUAUGGAGGCUCAGCCACUCCUGAAGAGAGAAUCUGUUGUGCACAUUACGCAUACUUAUCGUGAAAGCAACCGCAUAACGGAUGCCUUGGCCCAUUGUUGGCACUCCCUUUCUUCUCCAUCUUCCAACUACUAUUGUCGAUUGUAUUCGCGCAAACUGCAUAAAUGUAGUUUUACCCUACUUUAUUUAUACUAAUGAUUAAACCCUAGCGUCAUAACUUUUUUAAAAAAAGGCAUCCAAUUAAACCUGAUUUAUAUUUUCAAAAUAUACACUUUACUUGGUCCAUGUGUUGUGUUAAACAAGGAGGUGUUCUUUUAUCACAUUAUUAUUGGAAGUCCACUUCCAAGGGCAAGCACUCUCUUCAUUUUUACAAAAGAGAAAAAGUUCCACUUCCAUGUCAAGAUAAGCAUUUUUAUUCAUCAAACUAACGGUUAUGAUAUUUCCAUCAAAACUUUUUUUCAUUUUUCCAUCGAAUCACUCUUUGUGACAGAAUCUGUUAUCAACGCCUGUCGGUGUUAGAUUUUUUGGGUGUUCCUAAAUACCAUCGAAUAUUGUCGUCGGAUCUUCUUCGCGCAACUACUACGUGUUUUUUCCUCAUUCCUCUCCAUUCUGGCGACACUAUUACCAUCUUCGAUUUUCCGUGGAGGGAAGAAAACAAAAAACUACAACCCUCUUUUUGCUUCAAGUAAGAAUCCUAGUUAGACUUUUGCUUCAAAAACUCUCUAGUUGUCUUUUGCAUCGAAGAAAAGUCCGCCGAAAGAUUGAAUAUUGAAUAUUAUCUGCCGAAAAGAAUUUAAGGGGCGCUGAAAUCCUAGCCAGAAAGAAAAAGCUCUCAGCUCAUCCGGGGAAAAAAUCUUUUAAUAAAAACAUUUUAUCUCUACGCAAUUCCUCUUAAUAUAUAAAAAAUACGAACGAGGAUAUCUUACAAUUCUUUCAAACACUUUUUAUCUCGUAUUUCAUACCCCAAUAAUAUAUUUGAAUGUAUCUUGAAAUCCAACAAAUAGGAUAAAAAAACAUUUUAUAAACCAGUCUGGUGGAUUGGGGUACGUAGACCAAUCAUGGCCAGUAUCAAAGAUCAUCUAAUUUUGAACCAAUAAAAUUAUACGCUUAUUUUUUAAAAUCAAAGUUUAUACCUAAUUUUUAUCAUUUUAUUUUAAAAUUAUUUUUCAACUUAAAAUCAUAUCAGAAACUCUAACCAUUCUAAUUUCAACAUAACAUAUAUAUAUAUAUACUUUUUAUUAGCCAUAACGCAAUCAAUCAUGACAAAAAUAACAGGUUUAUAUUACGACCUAAGUAGUAGUCUUUUCCAAUUUUAUAGUUACGGACAAAAAAAAAAAUUUUAAAAAAAAGAAUAUAUGAAAGAAAAUAAAAGAUAAGAAACUUGGAAGGGGGUGAGAGAAUGAAAAUAUAAAUAUACACCCACUACUCACCCGACAAUCAAAUUAUCAAAAAGUCGUUUUUAUCAUUUCUAAAAAUAAAUCUCACCAAAUUCAUUUCCGCCAACGCUCCCCCGCUCCAACGAUGACCAACGGUAAUUAAACCUCCUCCUCCGUUUGACUUUCUCUCAUUCNNNNNNNNNNNNNNNNNNNNNNNNNNNNNNNNNNNNNNNNNNNNNNNNNNNNNNNNNNNNNNNNNNNNNNNNNNNNNNNNNNNNNNNNNNNNNNNNNNNNNNNNNNNNNNNNNNNNNNNNNNNNNNNNNNNNNNNNNNNNNNNNNNNNNNNNNNNNNNNNNNNNNNNNNNNNNNNNNNNNNNNNNNNNNNNNNNNNNNNNNNNNNNNNNNNNNNNNNNNNNNNNNNNNNNNNNNNNNNNNNNNNNNNNNNNNNNNNNNNNNNNNNNNNNNNNNNNNNNNNNNNNNNNNNNNNNNNNNNNNNNNNNNNNNNNNNNNNNNNNNNNNNNNNNNNNNNNNNNNNNNNNNNNNNNNNNNNNNNNNNNNNNNNNNNNNNNNNNNNNNNNNNNNNNNNNNNNNNNNNNNNNNNNNNNNNNNNNNNNNNNNNNNNNNNNNNNNNNNNNNNNNNNNNNNNNNNNNNNNNNNNNNNNNNNNNNNNNNNNNNNNNNNNNNNNNNNNNNNNNNNNNNNNNNNNNNNNNNNNNNNNNNNNNNNNNNNNNNNNNNNNNNNNNNNNNNNNNNNNNNNNNNNNNNNNNNNNNNNNNNNNNNNNNNNNNNNNNNNNNNNNNNNNNNNNNNNNNNNNNNNNNNNNNNNNNNNNNNNNNNNNNNNNNNNNNNNNNNNNNNNNNNNNNNNNNNNNNNNNNNNNNNNNNNNNNNNNNNNNNNNNNNNNNAUGGUGGUGGAUGAUGAUGGAGCCGUUUAUGGUGAUGGCUGAUGGGGAGAUAUUUUUAAAAAUUAUUGCUAAUUUCAACUUGCAAGACUUUACUAUUAAAUACUGGUUUCCAAUUAUAUUAUAUUAUAUGGUGAAAGAAACAUGUUGUUGUCAUGUGGUCCAUGUAGACUGUAGAGCAUUACACAUUACACAACUUGUUUGUAAUUAAAAACGUUGUUAUAAUAACUUAGUAAGGUCCCAUUCAAAUCGAAUUAUUGAUGUGCAGUACGUUUUAGAGUAGUAGUCUGACAAUUAAAUUCAAUCAACAGCUGCCAAGUCGGAAGUUCCACUUUACCAGCCCAUCUUGACUUUGAUUAUCUGAAGUCAAAAUCAUAUGUGCUGUAUUUUAACAAUCAUAUUUGACAUUUAUAAUAAAAAAAAUCAUAUUUGAGUUGUCUUUUGUGGGUUACAUUGAAUAUUAUGACGACAGAGAGCGAAGGUUUGAGAGAGUGAGUAAGAGCCUGAAGGUGACGAGGGUGUUCUCAACUUUAGUUGAGGAGAUGAAAGCAAUCGGAAUAAGUAGUAGUGAUCGUCAAGCCCAUCGUAACGAUGUUAUGGUCCCCGCCGCCCACUGCGACCGGAGCCCUGUCCUUCUCUUCAUGGGCGGCGGCAUGGGUGCCGGCAAGAGCACCGUCAUCAAGGACAUCCUCAAAGAGUAAUUAAUAAUUAAUCAUCUUUACCUCAAUAUUUUUUCUGUAAAACAAAAGCUUAAUUAUGUUGUUAUUAUUAUUUUAUAAUGGGCAGGUCAUUUUGGGGUGGGGCAGCUGCAAACGCCGUCGUAGUGGAGGCAGAUGCGUUCAAGGAGUCCGAUGUUAUUUACAAAGCUCUCAACUCAAUGGGACACCACGACGACAUGCUUCCAACCUCUGAACUCGUAAGUGCUGAGCCAGAUAAAUGGUUUUUGAUUCGAUCUACAAAGCUUAUAGCAAUCUCAGUCGUAAAAAAAUCGUGUUUUAAAUCUAACAGCUGAAAAAUAUUGGGGUAAAAUUGGUAUUUCCUAUCCAUAUAAAUGUUUAUAUUAAGUAUCAAACUUAGUAUAAUAUUUGGUAUUACACCUUAUACAAAAACUAUAUAAAUGUAUAUAUACUUCAGUACGGAUUUGUAUAAAUUUAUACACAUUUGUAUGAUUCAUAUAACUCUCCAUACAAAGUUAACGACUGAUCGUACGAAAUGUUCCAAAAAUAUUUAAAAAAUUCCAAAAUUUAGAGCCUAGAACAAUGAUCACAUGAUUGGACAAUUGAUAGGGAAACUUUCUGGUGGCCGAAGAUGGUGGUCCAGUCACCAGGAUAUGGCGGUGCAGCCACCAGAUAGGUGGUCCGAUAAUCGUAGUUGACUGAGUUUUAAUCCAACAAAAAUAUUAAAAUCAAAAUGAUCAUAUUACCCCUAAUUAAUUUUGUUAUUUAAAUCAUGUGAAGAUUUAAAGGGGUAGCUUGCUCCUGAAUCAAAUCGACGUCCCUGCCUCCAAACUCGAGUGAACGCAAUGUCUAGUUUAAUUUGUUAACUUAUUAGUUAAUUAACUAAUUAUUGACUGUUGGUUAACUGCAGGUUCACCAAUCGUCAACUGAUGCGGCGUCGUCGUUACUAGUGACGGCACUUAACGAAGGGCGGGACGUGAUAAUGGACGGCACCUUGUCAUGGGAACCCUUCGUGGAGCAAACCAUCGAGAUGGCGCGUAACGUCCACAAACGCCGUUACCGCAUGGGAGUGGGCUACAAGGUGGACGAAAACGGUACUACCGUAGCAGAAAAUUACUGGGAACCAGCAGAUGAUGAGGUAAAUAAUGGAAAUAAUGGAGAAAUGGCCGGAUUAUUAUUAACAAAGAGACCCUACAGAAUCGAGAUGGUUGGUGUGGUUUGCGACGCAUAUCUAGCCGUUGCUAGAGGAAUCAGGUACCAUAACCUACUAAUUAUUUCUGCUUUAAAUUUGAUAUAGAAAUUUACUAAUUUAGCUCAGUAAUUUUUUGGCUACCAUAAAAAAAAUAAGUUAUGUAUUUUGAAUUAAGUUAUUUUAAAUAUCACAUCCAUAUAGUCAAGUAUUUGAAUAACUCGAUUGGAGUUAUUUCAAAUACCCAAGUUACGAAAUAUCAUGCUACGACUUUUAUUUUGGAUGGCAAAUGAGGUAUUUAACGACCCGUUAGUCUAAGCAAAUAAGUAGAGGAGUAAAACUUCAAACACCAUAAGCCGGAUUAUGAAAUCAUCUAAAACAUGACAUAUAAUUUAGUUCUCGAGACCAAAAAAUAAGAUAGUUGGCUGGGAACUCUCUCUAGUUCUGACACGACCAAAUACUAAGCCGAACUUAAAAUUUCCGACAAACUCAAAAAAAUUAUAAAUAUACAUCUGAAAUGAAUGAUCUAAAUCGAAAUUAGGUGAGCCGGAAGCUCCCCACCCACCCCUUAGUUCCGCCCCUGAAUUUAGCCAUUGUGGGUGACAUUAGAGUUGUAUCAUAGAGUCAUACUGAUUGGGUUUUCUUGUUUUGGAUAAUUAGGAGAGCUAUAAUAACGGGGAGGGCAGUGAGGGUAAAUGCACAGCUGAAGUCCCACAAGAGAUUCGCGGAUGCGUUCCCGAGGUACUGUCAACUUGUGGAUAAUGCCAGACUUUACUGCACAAACACCGUAGGAGGUCCCCCAAAGGUAACUUUUUUUUUUGUUGAUAAUUGAAAGUUACUGCACAUGCAAAUUAAAUAUAGUGAAAUUAUAAAAUACAUUGACGUGUGUUUUGGGAUGAAUGCAAUGCAGCUGAUAGCCAGGAAGGAUGGCGGGGAGAACACGAUGUUGAUCGAUCCGGAGCAUUUUAAAUGUUUGGGGGAUUUGGCGAGGUUGAAUCCUAAUGCAGAAUCUGUGUAUCAACUUUACGGCAAAACUAGCAUUAUUCACGGCCCCGGCUCGGGUUGGAAACAAGUUGUUUUCAACCCUUCCAGGCCCAGCUUUCAGGCAGAGCUCAAAACAGUCAUCCAACAAAUCGAAAGCUUGUCAAGAUAGAUAGCAGUAUAGUAGAAAGUUGUUUUUGUGUACUGUUUAUUCUUUCCUUUUCUGGGUUCGGCGUAGUAGUAGUUAUAUUAAGAGCAAAUGUGUUGUUGGUCCUACGUACUCCUUGUGAAGUGAUAAGGAAGUGAGAAAGGCUAUGUUUGGUGAAAGUGAUGGUAUGCAGAUAAGAUUGAAGCCUCGAAGAAUGCCUAGCAAAAGGAAAAGUCUGUGUAUAGGGCCUCGGUUGUUGAUUUGAAGUAUAUUGUAAUCAAUAGAGAAAGGACAGAUAAAAUCGCACCAAACAAACACGUAGUUCUCAAAACUUUUAUAGGAGUAAUACUAGGUAGUAGUAGAUAGGUAGUCAUCGUAGACAUUAAACAUUCUCGUUCAAAUUUUAUUUGAAGAGAUAUAGAUUAUAUAGUUAAUUCGUGUUUAAGAAAUUAAAAGUGCAUUCAUUAUGUUUAAACAUGAACAUUGUCCUACUAGAAACUAUACAACAAAACCCAGGAUCCUCUGAACCUCAAGAACAAGUACACCUCCAAAAUGAGAAAAAAACUAAAUAUACCAUAACAUAAGCGUGAAGCAUCAUAGCAUUUUAAGCACAUUAUAUGUAUAUUUUGAGUAGUUUUUAAAAUUUUAUUAUUAUUUUGUCCUCUUAGCUUAUUCUGAGGCCAAUUGAUGUUAAUUUCAAGUAUAUAUUUUUUGCAAGUAUUCCACGAUUUUAGUAUUAAAGGAGCUGACGAACAUGUAAUAUGCAUCAUGAAAUCAAGGCAUAAACGAAAGAGAAUUGAACGAACGAAAAAAAUACAAACAUGGAAACAAUCAUGUUUAUAGGGCGGAAGAUGUACUCAAUUUGUCUAAAAAAGUACAUAUUGUUGCGCUUUUUGGCAUGCUACGAGAAAAAUCACUAUCCAAAGGUUUUCAGAUCCUAAUUUGGCUAUAUAUAACUCGAUUUUUUACGAUUGAAAGCUCUUUAGUGACGACCUUUGGUGAAGAUUUUAAAGCUGAAACGCGUUAAAACCAUUUUCGAAACUCGUGGGUUUUGCAACUGAAGAUGGAGAAGAUUCAAGCUGCCGAAGUUCCUAACAAUUCUAGGUUUCUCAAAUUCCUCUUACAUUAACCCUAAUUUCUAUAUAUGGAAUUUGGUAUGCCUUUUGAUUUGUCUUCCAAGAAUAUGAAUAGCUAACUUUUUUAGUAUUUAGGUUAGAUGAACCUUAGCUAAUACAACAAGCUUUGAUGUAGGUAGGAGAUUAUGAAUCUCGAUUCAAAUUGACAUUUCAACUGUCAGUUUACACAAAUCCAUAUUUUUACCAAGACAGAGUCCAAACCAACGGUUACAGUUGCAAUCAAAAUCUGGGACUAGACGAACCCCCAUUGACUAAAUAUAUUCAACCAAGAUUGACCAUUGUAGUCACUUCUGUUGGCAGCUAGCUUUCCAAGACAAAGCACCCGGGAAUACCAGAAACAAUCUUCUUCUCAGCAUCGCUCUGAGUUUCCACAUCCAUGACGGCCUCAAACCCCUGACGUGAAAUCUUGGAUUUGAUAGUGGUUGGUUCAGCACCCAACGCCUUCAACUCGUAUAGAACCUCCAACAUUGAACCUUCUAACCCAGAUGAUGUUGUACUCACAACUUUGAUCUUCACCUUCUUCUUCGCAACUCUGCGAUCCAAAGUCGACGAUUGAGCUUCUUCUGCUUCUUGGAGGUCCAUGAUUCUUCUUUCCAGCAUCUGCUUGUAUCCCUCAAUCUCUUCUAUCCUCCUCGUCGCCCCUGUCACAAUCGCGUUCUUGUUCUUCUUCCCAAUGCAUAAAAAAAAGUCUCAGUUGAAAAGUCAGUUGGACAAAUUUAGUAACAUUUAGAAUCAUGUUUCUUAGGAAAGUUGAAACGGAGGAUAGUUGAAGAAAGUGGAUUUGAUAAUAGAAAAAAUUAUCGGAGGAAGGUUGAAUAAAGUGAUAUAUGAAAUUACAGGUUUUUAUUUUAUAGAGAAAUUUCUUGUAAUUUUAUACAUUUAUCAUAGGAAUAUUUUUAUAAAAAAGUGAAUUUGUUCACGAUUUUAUUAAAAUCCUAAUCAUUACUUGGUUUAGUCAAUUACUCAUACAUGACGUUCGAGAGGUGACGAUGAAGUUCGAGUUGAAUCACAUACCAACGCUGCCGCCUAUGCACUUCCGUUAAGGUACAUACCCAACACUUACUAAUUGAAUUUUCUUUCCGCAAAUCCUUUCAACGUCAACUCAACUUGUUUUCGCAAAUCUCAAUUUAAACUUUCUUUAAAAAACACGAUUCUAGAUGCUAAGCUUUUACCUUAGUGUCGGAGGGCAACAUGGAGAGAAGAGAAGAGUAGCCUUCCUUCUCCUCCUCCCUUCUCAGUCUCUCGUUCAUCAUAUGCCGAAACGACAAAUGUUGCUUGCUGCUGCUGCUGCUGUCCACAUUCUUCCCAUUGAAUUCCCAGUUUGUCUUCUGGAAUUCCAUCAUUCUCCUGUUCAAGUUGGUUGCUGGGGCUACAUUAUUACUUGAAUAAUCCUCUCUGUUCCCGCCGUUGGAAUAUGGUGCGAAAGAUUGGUUAGGAGGAUGGGUUCGGCCUUUUACAACCAGGCUCAAUUCGUCAACCAAGAAAUCAUCAUCCAUAGAUACCUUCUGAAAAAGCAAUGAAGCUCUCAGCUUUAUCUUAACGGCUAUGAAUAACAGGCACUGCUUCUGUAUAUAUAUAAUAUAAUGUCAAGGAGGAAAUUAAUUAAGCACGUUUUACAGAGAUGGGUGGAGUAGAAAAGUAGCAGAUCGUGUCGUCAAAAUGUAAGAUGUCUCAAUCCAACAGCGUUUUGUUGAGAUAGUGGUCAGUUGUUUCAGAUGCACAAGGUUUUUUAGUUUAAAUCAUUAUUGGUGUCUGGUGAUGAAUCCGCGGAGUUAGGAAGGAAGGAGUCUGUUUCCACGCGAGCAACUUGGAAGAAAAUGCUUCAUACUUUUGGAUGUUUAGUUGAACUCCCACUUGAAUAGUUGUACGUAUUCUUUUAUUGUACAACUUUGACUUUCUCCCUGCGCCAAUUAAAACAAAUUAGGGAUUCCCUGCAAUCACUUGGUCUGUACUUCGAGUACCAAUUCCGCACUUUGGAGUAACGUGAGAUUACAGCAAACUGAGAAAGCGAGCACAACUCCGGAUGCUCCGAGGUAAUCAAAUCCGACACCUCCGGAUGGGGAAACGGGAGGAGAACCUCUUGCAAUUAGAUUGCAGAUGACCCAUCUUGGCCAAACACUUUAAUAUCUAGCUAGUUGAUUUACAAGAAAAAAGAAACAGAUAGACAGAACACAGAGCGUACAGAGUCAAAACAGCUUCACCCAAAUAUAUGUAGUUUGGCAACUCUUCAAUGUUCAACUAUCACUAUAGUUUGGCUGUGGUUCCUCUCACGCAGACGUAUAAAAGAGAGGAAUAUUAACAAUUGUGAAUGACUGCCACAAAAUCCACGCAAGUUACAUUUUGGAACCAACUUGUCUUACAUGUUAUCAAUGUCAAUAUGCCUUUGAACUCGGUUUCGGUAAGUCCUUCGAAAUUGGUUUUGGAUGAUCUGCAAACCCAGCUUACUCAUCACCUCCAAACUCAGACCCAAACUUCGCUGGAAGAAGACUCAUGAAGCUCAAGCACACAGCAUCGCAAGACCUUAAAAGAAAGCAUAUUUCUUCAACACAAAUCGUUAUUCUGGCCUUACGACUUCAAGAUCCAACCAGCCCCUUGUAGCGGGCAUACGACAUGAUUCCUAGGAAUACAACUGCACAGAAUAUCCCUGCUAAGAUCACCACCUAGCACAAUUGAUCCAGUUUGACACACAUUAGUUUGAAACACGAAGUUUCAAACUUCACUAGCUUAUCAACAAAAAGUAUAUUCGCAUACCCAUUUGAAGACAUAUCCAUAGUGAGCGUUCCAUGUGUAGGGGAUAUUCAUACCAAAUAUUCCGGCCACCAAAGAAUAAAUUGACAAACACACGGUGCCUGAACUGAGAAACAACUCCAACUGUUGCACAAAGAAGGAAUAAGUUCAGAGAAAGUAGGAAAGAAGGAACCAGGCUCCACUUGGAUAUGGAUACUGAAGAUGAUUGCAGAGAAAUAAAACAGUACCUGAAUAAGCUGAUUUCGAUGGUUGUCAAGCUGUGACAUGAAAACGUGGAUAAGCCUUCAUUUGCAACCAAAGAGAAGCACAGCCGAAAAACUAGCAUGUAGAUAAAUUACUUUUGAUACUUUUAUAAUGCUUACCUGAAUGUUGAUGUAAUCCUCAGUAUCAUCAAUGUAUUCUCGCAACUGCAUAUUUCAACAAUAUAUGGUUGUUGAAUUGUAUGUAAGUCAUAUGUACGUUGCUACACUCUUACUUAUAAAUGAUCAAUGAAGAACAAAAACAGAGGUGGGAGAACAAACCGUGGUUAAUUUGUUCAGCGUGCCAUCGAUUUGCAUAAAGUAAGCCUGCAACCAUUACUACCCAUAUGAGCAAGCAUUCCCAACAUAAACUAUAAUUUGAAUAAAGAAGCCUAACAGUUAAAUAACCUCUAGUAACAUCUCAAGCUCCUCAACGUCAUUAUCGUCAUCACGAACUGUAGCGACACUUGCCCUACUUGCCCUAGAGAUUUUAGAACCUAUCGUAGGGGAAGCAGAAAACCAAUCGACACCUGAGGCACUAACUGGUGAAGAUGAGCCAGCCAUCUUCCUCGACAAGUAAAGGUCAGCCAUAUCAUCAUCAUCAUCCAGUAACUGUUCCAGCUCAUCACGGACCUACAACCAGAAUGUAUUACUUUGUUCAUAUUAACUACAGAUAUAGGGACUAAAUCAUAAGCAUGUACAUCUAAAAUGCAAGCUGCAACCCUGGCUGUAAGAUAUCACAUUCAAAUAUACAUGAGUGGACGUGAAAUGAAGGGACUAGACUCCAGCAAAAAUGUGAUAAUAAUUUAUCUUUGAGAUGACGAGAUUAGUUAUAUGCCCAAUUUCAUUCAUCCACCUACUUUUUGAACCCGAGCAGUCAACCUUGUCAUUGCACUCUUCAGUUUACGAACUCUAUCCAAAUUGCGGCUGCUGAUCUGACACAUUUAAAGGACAAAUUAAAGAGGAGAAGACCCCACAGUAGAACCUGAAAAUACAGAAUGAUAAAGGAUGGAAGACAACAUAUCAUUGAUGUAUGCUGGAAAUCGAAGAAACUAAUCAAACAAAAUCAGGCACUGUUACGUAAUGAACUGAGAGUUUCAUGCAAUGGAUCGAUCUUAAGAAACCAAAUAUAUCGUCUUUGACAGUGUCAUCCAAUUAAUCAAUUCUUCAAAUGAAUUAUUAUGUUAUCUAAACUGUAUUUCCAAGUAAAUUUUCCUUUUCCCUUGAUCCAAAAAAAAAAAAGAAUUCAUUUUCCCUUUAACACUUAACAGAACCUCUUUUAAGAGGUUUAGUUACACCAAGUCUUACCUUGGAGGUUAGCUCAUCCAGUGCAGGGUAAGCAGCAGUCUCUAAUUCUGUCGUGCGUUCAGCUAGAAAAAUACAAAUGGCUUCCAAAGCAACCUCCAGAGCACGGAAUUCAAAAGGAGAUUCUGUGAUGAUUCAUAAUGCAGUAGCAUCAGGAAAAUGGGGAAGCCGAAAGGGCCUGAAGUAAUAGCUGAAUAAAACCUUUCUACUGACGACACUUCUGUUAGAAGCAAAAUAGUCAUAUUAUAGACUUCUAAUAAAGCAUACCAUCCUCUUCACCCCCUUCAGCAUCAGUUUGCUUGGUGCAUUGGCUUUUAUCAUUUGAUUGGCCUUCUUGCUGAGUGUCAUUUGCAAGUGGUAAUCGCCUCUGAAGUUCUUUGACAACAGGACUAACAUGUUCAUCCGAUGGAUCUCUCAGCAGUACCUAAACAUGGUAACGAGAUACUUUGGAAUCCAGAAGUACAGUGUAAGAGACGAGCACAGAGUUGCUUGAGCCAAGUAAAGAAACUCUGAUUUGAAGCAGGCAUCAAGAUCCACUACAGACUCAUUCUGUACAUUAGGAAGAAAGUGCAACCCCACAAUUUGACUCAAUGCAUUCUGAAAACUAGAGUGAGUCCAAUAAGUCUUAAUCAUAACUAAAGAACAAAAAUCACAAAAACAGAAAUGAUUCUUCACAUCAUAUUUCAACCAAACUAAACAAUGAGUUUAGACUGAAGAUAGCAAGAUCACUAACCUCCUCAGCAGUGAUAAUCGCCUUGAUGUACUGCAACCAAAACAAACAGAGAGCUAUCAGAAAACAAAAAACUACAGCAAUGACUGGCAUAUGACAUGGAUCGAAGUAAAAAAGAAAAAGAACGUACCUCCAAGUUCAAAACAAUGGCCCUCUCUCGGCCGAGAAUUGUGGAGGGGUAAGAGAGCAAGGGAUCGAGGAUGCGGAGAUCGCGCGCGUGAAUCUGAACACGGUGCAUGAUUGCAUGCUUGUCAGCAUCGAGGAUGGUGCCUUGGCCAGUGGAGUCGACCAGAAUCCAACUCAUAGCCGGCUGAGUCUUCUUCUUCACGGCGGCAACCACCACCGCAGGAGGCGGGGGGGUGACUGGAGCCGGGGCGGCCCGCGCAAAGUNNNNNNNNNNNNNNNNNNNNNNNNNNNNNNNNNNNNNNNNNNNNNNNNNNNNNNNNNNNNNNNNNNNNNNNNNNNNNNNNNNNNNNNNNNNNNNNNNNNNNNNNNNNNNNNNNNNNNNNNNNNNNNNNNNNNNNNNNNNNNNNNNNNNNNNNNNNNNNNNNNNNNNNNNNNNNNNNNNNNNNNNNNNNNNNNNNNNNNNNNNNNNNNNNNNNNNNNNNNNNNNNNNNNNNNNNNNNNNNNNNNNNNNNNNNGCCAACCACCACCGCAGGAGGCGUGAGUGUGACUGCAGCCGGGUCGGCCAGAACAACGUGGCUGUCGUUCGCCAUGCCGCUUAACCGUAAUCAAAAAGAGUAUCAGCAGGAGAAAAGCGGGCAAUCAAAUCUCCGCCGCUAUUUAUUAUUAGAGUGACCUAAAUAUGUUAAGAUUCCGCCGGUGGGAAAAGAAACUCGAGAAUAUUAACCAACAAAAGAAAAAUACAACAGAAUUAUAAAAAAAAAAAAAUUAAUUUGUAACACUGCGCUCUGGGCUCUGGCUGGCUUCUGCAGGGGGGGAAGAGAGGAGGGAAUCGCCGAGCGGGUUUCAGGGGUUUUUGCCGUCUUUGCCCUUGUUGUCGUUUUAAUUACUGAAUAAAUAAACAAUUGAUUUUUG
Molecule: long non-coding RNA, 41160 nt
Filed under: Linum usitatissimum (flax)
Lineage: Eukaryota; Viridiplantae; Streptophyta; Magnoliopsida; Malpighiales; Linaceae
Description: long non-coding RNA (LUSI_LNC004093)
Rfam family: mir-166 microRNA precursor family (bases 17394-17483)
Source: RNAcentral